This 253-nucleotide ribosomal RNA is filed under the name uncultured bacterium. Its description in RNAcentral is "partial 16S ribosomal RNA". It matches the Rfam family "Bacterial small subunit ribosomal RNA", at positions 524 to 776 of the family's 1533-position model. The record is from RNAcentral.
UACAGAGGGUGCGAGCGUUGUCCGGAAUCACUGGGCGUAAAGGGCGCGUAGGUGGCGGCCCAAGUCCAUGGUGAAAGCUCGAUGCUCAACAUCGAGUCGGCCACGGAUACUGGGUUGCUGGAGCACUGUAGGGGCAGAUGGAAUUCCGGGUGUAGCGGUGGAAUGCGUAGAGAUCCGGAAGAACACCGGUGGCGAAGGCGGUCUGCUGGGCAGUUGCUGACACUGAGGCGCGACAGCGUGGGGAGCGAACAGG